RNAcentral lists this non-coding RNA (24 nucleotides) under Mus musculus (house mouse). Lineage: Eukaryota; Metazoa; Chordata; Mammalia; Rodentia; Muridae. The record is from RNAcentral.
UUAAAUGUGGGCUCUCAAAUGAGA